This is a long non-coding RNA of Miniopterus natalensis, 495 nucleotides long. RefSeq lists it as uncharacterized. The record is from RefSeq and is a predicted model, not a curated record. Lineage: Eukaryota; Metazoa; Chordata; Mammalia; Chiroptera; Miniopteridae.
GGUCGCCCCCCGCCCGCGCUGCUUGAGCUCAAGGGCACCCCCAGGCUCCUUUCAAGGGGAGACCCGCGCGGAGGCUUAGGAACGAGCACGGGCGCAGCAGGACCGGAGUCCGGGUUCGUGCUGCGAGGGAAGGACGCUGCCGGGCUGGAGCCUCGUCUCCAAACCCUACGCGCUCGUCUUCCUUUGACUGGCUAACGUUGCUCUGCGGUGAACCGAGGUUGCUGGUGAACGUGGCCUUGAGGUAAAUCCUGUCCCUUGUUGAAGUUUCGUUUCAGCAGGUUAUGGCAUUUUAAGGAAUCAAAAUAUUUUACAAAAAAAACCCAAAAGUUUUGCUUCUGUUCUAGACUUCUGUUUAAACAACAAUUAUUUAUGAUAAAUAAUCGUGAUGCUUGUGAUUGGUCAUCUGCCUUGCUUAAAUUAAGUGGAUUUUAAAUGUCAAAAAGCCACUUCUAGAUGGUUUUAUUUUUGGUCAAAUAAAAUGUUACUAAAACCUUC